RNAcentral lists this ribosomal RNA (232 nucleotides) under uncultured bacterium. RNAcentral describes it as "partial 16S ribosomal RNA". It matches the Rfam family "Bacterial small subunit ribosomal RNA", at positions 99 to 334 of the family's 1533-position model. The record is from RNAcentral.
CGGACGGGUGAGUAAUGUCUGGGAAACUGCCUGAUGGAGGGGGAUAACUACUGGAAACGGUAGCUAAUACCGCAUAACGUCGCAAGACCAAAGAGGGGGACCUUCGGGCCUCUUGCCAUCGGAUGUGCCCAGAUGGGAUUAGCUAGUAGGUGGGGUAACGGCCCACCUAGGCGACGAUCCCUAGCUGGUCUGAGAGAAUGACCAGCCACACUGGAACUGAGACACGGUCCAG